Molecule: ribosomal RNA, 500 nt
Filed under: uncultured bacterium
Lineage: Bacteria
Description: partial 16S ribosomal RNA
Rfam family: Bacterial small subunit ribosomal RNA
Source: RNAcentral
AUUGAACGCUGGCGGAAUGCUUUACACAUGCAAGUCGAACGGCAGCACGGACUUCGGUCUGGUGGCGAGUGGCGAACGGGUGAGUAACAAAUCGGAACGUAUCCAAUAAUGGGGGAUAACGAGUCGAAAGAUUCGCUAAUACCGCAUACGCCCUACGAGGGAAAGCUGGGGACCUUCGGGCCUGGCGUUAAUGGAGCGGCCGAUAUCUGAUUAGCUAGUUGGUGAGGUAAAGGCUCACCAAGGCGACGAUCAGUAGCUGGUCUGAGAGGACGACCAGCCACACUGGAACUGAGACACGGUCCAGACUCCUACGGGAGGCAGCAGUGGGGAAUUUUGGACAAUGGGCGCAAGCCUGAUCCAGCCAUUCCGCGUGAGUGAAGAAGGCCUUCGGGUUGUAAAGCUCUUUCGCAAGGGAAGAAAACUUAGCCACUAACAUUGGUUGAGGUUGACGGUACCUUGAUAAGAAGCACCGGCUAACUACGUGCCAGCCGCCGCCGUAA